UACGUAGGGUGCGAGCGUUGUCCGGAAUUACUGGGCGUAAAGAGCUCGUAGGCGGUCUGUUGCGUCGGCUGUGAAAACCCGGGGCUCAACUCCGGGCCUGCAGCCGAUACGGGCAGACUAGAGUUCGGCAGGGGAGACUGGAAUUCCUGGUGUAGCGGUGAAAUGCGCAGAUAUCAGGAGGAACACCGGUGGCGAAGGCGGGUCUCUGGGCCGAUACUGACGCUGAGGAGCGAAAGCGUGGGGAGCGAACAGG
Molecule: ribosomal RNA, 253 nt
Filed under: uncultured bacterium
Lineage: Bacteria
Description: partial 16S ribosomal RNA
Rfam family: Bacterial small subunit ribosomal RNA
Source: RNAcentral